AUGGGUACCUUUGAUUCCCUUAAGGAAUGCUCCAAGAUUGUGGUGGCCUGUUCGUCCGGCACCCAGGCCCGGGCGGCAAUCCUUUUGGCAGCAUGCCGAACAUAUGCACCACCGCAAAAUAAUACACUGGACUACUAUUCUUGCCUAACAUUUUCACUGAAGAAUUCACCUGGCUGUUAUCAGGGCUAUACUUUGGACCUUGUUCGUGCCUUUGACAAGCUAGAUUGCAAGGUGAAGGCAUCCCCGUCAUCCACUGAAGCACCCAACUCGCUCGGUUCACCAACACCACUGUCCACUCCCGUCUCGCCGGUGAGACGUAGCAUCCUCCUCAGAGAUGCCCAAUUUCCACAAGGCCUCCUCCAGUUGAGCCCUAGCCAACAUGGUGGCUUGGCUCUCGUCUCCAUCCAAGAACCGGUAGCAGGAGUGGAUCUCGCCAACUUACUCCCUAACCGGUGUGCUUGCUCGUCCCGUGGAUGGAGAUCCGCGGGCAUCAUCAAGAAGAAAAGAAAUGUUGUACUCCGUGAUCUCCUUGGUUCACAAGUUCUUUUUGUUUGUUUGUUUGAGAAACUCCUUCGUUCACAAGUGAUCUCACGGUCAAACCAGAGAAGUUCAGUGAUCUGCUUCUGGGCUAAGCCCAGCCCAAGAAAAACACUCUCUUCUAUAGGGUUGGAACCUGGGCCGUGCCCAUAUCUAUGCCCCCAUCCCCUCCGCCGCCACCCGCACUACUCCAGGACGAGCUCCCAGCCGGCGGCCAUGGCGGAGGCCGCAACAGCAGCAGCGACGCCUCUCCUCCCCGGCCUCCUAGACGAUGUCUUCAUCUGGGAGAUCCUCGUCCGCCUCGACCCGAAAUCCCUCCUCCGCUGCCGCGCCGUCCGCCGCGCCUGGCGCCGCGCCACCUCCACUCGCCGCUUCCUCCUCGCCCACCACGCCCGCCAGCCCGCCUUCCCCAUUGCGGACGGCGACCAGUUAGUCCUCGGCGUCCACCUCCACGACAUCCUCGCCUUCGACCUCCGGGCCGCCGCUAAGGCCCACCUCCAUACCGUCGCCAGACUUGACCAGGACUUCUAUCUGGAGGCCUCAUGCGACGGCCUCCUCGUCCUCUCCACGUUUGCCAAGGGUGGAUCUGGAUGCUGCAUCUCUAUCUGCAACCCGGUCACGCGUGAGCAUGCCUCCCUCGCCGGGCCACCGUGGGACUUCACUGCCUUCGGGAUGUACCUCCACCGACCCACCGGCGAGUACCGCCUGUUACUGCAACGGGGGAGCAACAGGGACUCGCCUGAAGAGCAAAUUGACUGCUAUGUCUUUCCAUUGGGCUCCGACCAGCCACCGAGGUACAUCGGGUGGCCGGACAUGGAGUCAGUGGUCUUCAACUUACCUAUUCAGCUGCGUGAUAACCUGCAUUGGUAUCCAUAUUAUCAUCUGAGUGAAAGCGAACAAUUGCAGAGUGAAGGCAAACCUGUAAUAGUAUUUGACACGGUAGCUGAGUCGUUCCGGCAGAUGCAUGCUCCAAUUGUUCCCACAAAGUCAUACUUAUUUGAGAUGGAUGACACGAUCGGCAUCUAUUGCAAUGACGAUGACAAGAACACCAUUAGUAUAUGGGUGCUGCAGAACUAUGAAAGCGAGGUUUGGGACUUAAAGUACCGAAUCAGAUUGCCUGUUGAAGAAAUCAGGGGACAGUUUGAAGGUUGUAAUGACUAUCGGGAUGUUAACCUUUGGGAUGUGGACGUUGUUUCGGGGGAUGGUGGCGUGCUCUUGCUGGUCAGUUUUGGUCGGUGGGUGCUUCACAUCGACACUGAUGGCAAAUUGAUUGACAGUUUCUAUAUUGGUCUCCUAGGCCUCCGUAUUUAUGAAUGUCGGCUCAAGCAAAGUCUUGUUCAACAUGCCUUUUUUCCGGCUCUAGAAGAAUUUAGAAGUAAGGUGUUAAACCUGCUCUCCUCCCUCAGCUUUAGAAUCAUCUUUUCAACCUUCAGAAACAGAAGCAUAAUAUUGUUCCAUGUCAGAGGGUGUUCAAAUGCAAGCAAUCUAAGUACAUGGGUGAGAGUCACAGACUCACAGGUGACCCGACUAACCAGUACGUGGGUGAGAGUCACAGACUCACAGGUGACCCAUGGAACGGCAGUGGUUUCUGUGUCGGUGGAAUGCAUCCUCAUGGGCCUGGAGGACCAGGUUGGGAAGGCCAUGGCCCUGGUUCUUGGGGGCCUUGGUUUGGUGGCUUCUUUAGAUCCUGCUUCUACCUCCUUUGCUGUUGCUGCCUGCUCCAAGAUUGCUGUGGCCCGUUCUUCGGACCCCCGGGUCCAGGCGGCUUGA
This 2307-nucleotide ribosomal RNA is filed under the name Triticum aestivum (bread wheat). RNAcentral describes it as "partial small subunit ribosomal RNA". The record is from RNAcentral. Lineage: Eukaryota; Viridiplantae; Streptophyta; Magnoliopsida; Poales; Poaceae.